RNAcentral lists this ribosomal RNA (119 nucleotides) under Oncorhynchus kisutch (coho salmon). The record is from RNAcentral. Lineage: Eukaryota; Metazoa; Chordata; Actinopteri; Salmoniformes; Salmonidae.
GCUUACGACCACACCGGCCUGAGUACGCCUGAUCUCGUCUGAUCUCGGAAGCUAAGCAGGGUCAGGCCUGGUUAGUACUUGGAUGGGAGACCACCUGGGAGUACCAGGUGCUGUAAGAU